RNAcentral lists this ribosomal RNA (467 nucleotides) under uncultured bacterium. RNAcentral's name for it is "partial 16S ribosomal RNA". It matches the Rfam family "Bacterial small subunit ribosomal RNA", at positions 28 to 506 of the family's 1533-position model. The record is from RNAcentral.
GACGAACGCUGGCGGCGUGCUUAACACAUGCAAGUCGAACGGAAAGGCCCUGCUUUUGUGGGGUGCUCGAGUGGCGAACGGGUGAGUAACACGUGAGUAACCUGCCCUUGACUUUGGGAUAACUUCAGGAAACUGGGGCUAAUACCGGAUAGGAGCUCCUGCUGCAUGGUGGGGGUUGGAAAGUUUCGGCGGUUGGGGAUGGACUCGCGGCUUAUCAGCUUGUUGGUGGGGUAGUGGCUUACCAAGGCUUUGACGGGUAGCCGGCCUGAGAGGGUGACCGGCCGCAUUGGGACUGAGAUACGGCCCAGACUCCUACGGGAGGCAGCAGUGGGGAAUAUUGCACAAUGGGCGGAAGCCUGAUGCAGCAACGCCGCGUGCGGGAUGACGGCCUUCGGGUGGUAAACCGCUUUCGCCUGUGACGAAGCGUGAGUGACGGUAAUGGGUAAAGAAGCACCGGCUAACUACGU